AUAGCAUCAGUGUUUGAUCGUGGUCCAGAAAUAGGCAGAGGGUAUCACUUGUAUAAAAAGGGACUGCGAUUCUGAGAAAACUUGGACGUGUUGCUGAAGAUAGAGAUGAAUCAAGGGCAGUAUUUGAUUGUCGUCUUGCUUGUUGUUUUUGGUCACAUAGGAUGGUUUUAUACUCAUGUCUGUGUUUUCCCUGCUUUCAGCCAGGGCUUCCUGCACUGGGCAGGACAAAACUUGAGGCAUCCAUCGUGUCAAGUACGGAGGGAGAAAUGAACGGCUCGAAAUCGAAUCACACAACGUUCCCAAAUGGGGUUGCUUGUGACGUCACUGUCUUCAAAAUCUGCUGAUGACUGGACAUCUAUGCAAAAGUGGGAUGUGAAGCCGAACUGACUGUGUUCCUCAUGGAAGGGGGGUAACGGCUGACAGGAAUGGAAGAUGUCGGAGGGAAAAGAAGGGGUUUACCAAUAAACAAGCGUGGCAAAGGCCUCAGCCGUGAGAAUACCGUGGUGAAGUCCUAGGGUUAAUCAUCUGAUCCACAACAUUCACAUGUCAGAGGGAAAAAUUAAAAGGAUGAAAAUCUGGGAAAACUUUACCUUGUAUCCUGCACACAAGAUCAAUGUCAAACCAACGUCUGUUAGACUGCUUUACACCUGUAAAUGGAUAUUCAGCAAGUUGAUAACUUUGUAUGAACAACAUAACACCGUCAGGUAUUUGCAAUAUUUGUCUGUAAACUACUUGGGGUUUAAUAAAUGAGCUUAACUUGCUUACGUUGUCACGUGCAGACGUCUGUAACGUCUGAGACGCAUGAGCUGUGAGACGUAAGGGAAUAUGAAAAUGAUGUAGUACGUAUUUAAGCUUUAAAAAAAUAAAUAUAAAAACCAUGUAUAGAUACAUUUGUAGUAACUAUUCACCUGAAUGAGAGAAACUGUGUAGAGACGAGAUGCACACGAGCGUUUGUGUUGAGUUGUGUUGUUAUCUCAAAGACGUGAGGGCAAACGCAGUCUGAUUUAAUCGUAUUUGUUCUAAUUAAAUAAUAGCCUAUAUGUAGCUUGAAAUGGAUUUGUUGUGACUGUGAUAAUAAGAACGUGUGCGUAGCGAACGUAGGAAACGACUGCGUCUGUCGACGUGUGUGAAAAUUACAGACGCGAGUUUUUUAGCUUGCGGUGCUUUAUAAUUGUGAGGGUUACAUAUUUGUGAGAUCCUAAUAGUUUGUUUAAAAUGUUGUAUGAAGCUGUAGAUAGUUGAACGGAGAGUUUUAGCUGCCAGGCGCUCGCUGUCCUCUGCAUGUGCUGCUGCUGACGUAUCACUCACACGGCCUGCUGAGCUUAGAACUAAAGAUGAUGCUGUUUUUAUACGUUCUUUCGCGAGAUAUGUUUAUUAUAUUGUAUACAUGUAAUUAGGUUUUAUAACUAGUGUUUAGGGAGCAUUUUGAGCACAGUAAAUGUGAAGUAUGAGUUGUUGGAAUUACCAAAGGGUCAAAGGGGGCUGGGUAGUGCAGAAAGGGGGAGAGAUAAAUAUGUUUAAAUUAAAUAAUAAAGAUUAUAGGCGUCGAGUUAUUCUUAAGAUGUCUGUGGUAGAUCAGUGAGCGUCGAGGACUGAAAGCUGGAAUGUAUAAUGUGUUACGUGAGAGGAAACGUGUGUGUGUGUGUGUGUGUGUGUGUGUGUGAGAGAGAG
Sinocyclocheilus rhinocerous is the source of this 1671-nucleotide long non-coding RNA. RefSeq lists it as uncharacterized. Lineage: Eukaryota; Metazoa; Chordata; Actinopteri; Cypriniformes; Cyprinidae. The record is from RefSeq and is a predicted model, not a curated record. The transcript is spliced from 5 exons.